This is an RNA transcript of Phoenix dactylifera (date palm), 2639 nucleotides long. It is a transcript of the gene named metal transporter Nramp6-like, with no coding region annotated. Lineage: Eukaryota; Viridiplantae; Streptophyta; Magnoliopsida; Arecales; Arecaceae. The record is from RefSeq and is a predicted model, not a curated record.
UCCUUUUUGACUCAAAUAGACGGAACGAAAGACGGGACGUUUAGGAAUGCUCCUCCGACCAUCCGACCAAGCGCGCAAAUGGAUCCCGCACCGGUCGAUUCAGCCUUCUCCGCCGUCCCCACUGUCUCUCCCGCUCCCGCUCCCGCUCCCGCUCCCAAUCCAAGUAACAAUAAAAAGCCUUCCUUUUACCCCCUCCGCGUCCUCUCCCCCAUGGCCUCCUCCCACCCCGGCGACGAGGAGGAGAGCUCCCUCCUUCCCUCUCUCUCCGCUGGCCCUGACUCCCUUUAUGACGAAGAAGACGACACCGAGGAGCGCGCCUACGACGCCCGAGAGAAGAUCGUCGUCGGGAUCGACGCCGACGAGCCGGGCGCUGUCCCCACCUUCUCCUGGCGGAAGCUCUGGCUCUUCACCGGCCCCGGGUUCCUGAUGAGCAUUGCCUUCCUGGACCCCGGGAAUCUGGAGGGGGACCUCCAGGCCGGGGCCGUUGCCGGGUACUCGCUGCUGUGGUUGCUGUUCUGGGCCACCGCCAUGGGGCUUCUGAUCCAGAUGCUGUCGGCCAGGCUCGGGGUUGCCACGGGAAAGCACCUGGCGGAGCUCUGCCGGGAGGAGUAUCCCGGUUGGGCGCGACUGGCGCUGUGGUUCAUGGCGGAGGUGGCCCUGAUUGGGGCGGAUAUACAGGAGGUGAUCGGGAGCGCUAUUGCUAUCAAGAUUCUUAGCCGCGGGGUGCUGCCGCUUUGGGCUGGAGUUGUUAUCACCGCCAUGGAUUGCUUCAUGUUCCUGUUCCUUGAGAACUACGGUGUGAGGAAAUUAGAAGCUGUUUUUGCGUUUCUCAUCGCAACAAUGGGCAUUUCCUUUGCUUGGAUGUUUGGUGAAACUAAGCCCAGUGGGAAGCAGCUUCUGAUUGGUGUAUUGGUUCCAAAACUAAGCUCAAAAACCAUUAGGCAGGCUGUUGGGGUUGUGGGCUGUGUCAUUAUGCCCCACAAUGUAUUCCUGCACUCUGCUCUUGUACAGUCAAGAAAGAUUGAUCCUAACAAUGAAAUCUGUGUUCGAGAAGCAAUAAAUUAUUAUUCCAUAGAGUCUUCUUUGGCCCUGAUUGUCUCCUUCACAAUAAAUCUGUUUGUUACAACAGUUUUUGCAAAAGGAUUUUAUGGUACUAAAGAAGCUAAUAGUAUAGGUCUCGAGAAUGCUGGGAAGUUUUUACAAGAGAAGUAUGGGGGAGGGCUAUUUCCUAUUCUUUACAUCUGGGGAAUCGGGUUAUUAGCAGCUGGGCAGAGUAGUACGAUUACAGGCACCUAUGCUGGACAAUUUAUCAUGGGUGGAUUUCUGAAUCUUCGUUUGAAGAAAUGGAUCAGAGCAUUGUUUACUAGGAGCUUCGCAAUUGUGCCAACUAUAAUUGUUGCUUUGUUUUUUGAUUCAUCUGAUUCUACAUUGGAUAUUUUAAAUGAGUGGCUCAAUGUGCUGCAAUCUGUUCAGAUCCCAUUUGCCCUUAUUCCACUUCUAACAUUGGUAUCAAAGGAGCAUCUUAUGGGAGUUUUCAAAAUCGGCGCUACUAUUCAAAUGGUAACCUGGACUGUCGCUGCUUUGCUAAUAAUAAUCAACGGCUACCUCUUGCUGGAAUUCUUCUCUUCUGAAAUACAUGGUCCGUUGCUUGGUUCUAUUGUGUGCAUAGCCGUGGCUGUAUACGUGGCAUUUAUAAUUUAUCUCAUCUUGCGUGGUGGUGAAUUAUCCACUCGGCUUGCAUCAGCAUUCCGCUGGAGAUUCUCAUGAGGAUUUGAACUCAAAAUAGAAUUGAUUUUGCUUUAACAUGUUUGGAAGAUACAGAAUAUGAGUUUGCUAUCCCACAUUUGAGAGAUUGGAGAUAAUGUUGUACAGAAGCUGCAGGAGCUCGAGGGUUAUAUUUUUAGAUUGGCCUUUCAUGGUCUUGUAAAUCAGUCAAAUAAUGUUCCACAGCGUAGUUGUGUUUGGAAUAGGUUUGCUGUACUCUACCUCUGUGUUGAAGAGGCCAGCAGUUCUGUAGUAUGUUGAUUUCACACGAUCAGCUUUUCCGAGCCAUUUGCAGAAGCCUCUUUGGUAUGGUUAUCUCUAGCAAAUUUUCUCCCUGUUGCAAUGCAGGAGAUGACAAGUAAUUCAUUCACAGGUUUAAUAUGUCAGGAGGCUUAUCCAAGGGAGGGACUCAUUUCUCUGCUCCCUGGAUCACUAUAGUCAGUACCAAGGAACAUACAAAAAAAAUAGAUGGAUGCAACUUGGGGCAGGCAAGGGUGCAAUUGGAAUUCAGAAGAGAAGCAGCUGCAGAUGGAUCGGAUCGGCGAAGUUAUAUUAAUCCUCUGAAUUAAGUGAUGCUGGAGCCUCAAUGCCAAUGUCAAAAAAUUAGGCUGGCAUGGUGAUCUUAAGCCGGUAUUCCUUGGAUAAAAGAGACCUAUUGAAAUUAUUUCACAGAAGGGAGAAUUACUCUAGGCCUGACCCUGACAUAUGUUCUGAAAAGGAAGAAUGGCCGAGUUUCUAGUUUGAUAUGUUGUCAUGAAUGCAGGAGCAUAUUAAUCUUCUUUUCUUUUCUUUUCUUUUUCCUUUUUUGAGGUUUGUUUUUGCAGGACGGUCCCAUUCUUUUCUGAAGUUGGAAGCCAGUCCCUUUCUUUCUCUUU